This is a long non-coding RNA of Pygocentrus nattereri (red-bellied piranha), 372 nucleotides long. Lineage: Eukaryota; Metazoa; Chordata; Actinopteri; Characiformes; Serrasalmidae. The record is from Ensembl.
AUGUAUAGACAAAAGCAAGUCAUCAUGUUAUGCAUGUGUGAUGUUUUAAUAAGCUUUAUCAAGAGGGAGUGCUCCAGUGUUUUAGAAAGCAAGCUUAGUUUGUUUUGGACAGAAUGUUACAUAAGCUUUUAUGGUUGUCUUCGUUCUGUUUCUGUGGCUUCUGUUUUCAUAGGAGAUCUUCAUUCACAACCUUCUUCACAGACAGUGCUGCCCUGUGCAUUCUUCUUCACAAGCCUCGCUCCUCUCUGUAAGUUGGGAACAUUUUUCUUAAAGAGGAAUUGCACUGAUUUUUCUAAUUUUUCUACGCUAUGUAAGUAUAUUAAUACGUGUCCAAGGUUUUACUGCAAAACUAUUUUUUUAUUUUCAGAAUAG